GACGAACGCUGGCGGCGUGCCUAAUACAUGCAAGUCGAACGAGAGCGACCGGUGCUUGCACUGGUCAAUCUAGUGGCGAACGGGUGAGUAACACGUGGGUAACCUGCCCAUCAGAGGGGGAUAACAUCCGGAAACGGAUGCUAAAACCGCAUAGGUCUUCGAACCGCAUGGUUUGAAGAGGAAAAGAGGCGCAAGCUUCUGCUGAUGGAUGGACCCGCGGUGCAUUAGCUAGUUGGUGAGGUAACGGCUCACCAAGGCCGUGAUGCAUAGCCGACCUGAGAGGGUGAUCGGCCACAUUGGGACUGAGACACGGCCCAGACUCCUACGGGAGGCAGCAGUAGGGAAUCUUCCGCAAUGGGCGCAAGUCUGACGGAGCAACGCCGCGUGAGUGAAGAAGGUUUUCGGAUCGUAAAACUCUGUUGUUAGAGAAGAACACGUGCUAGAGUAACUGUUAGCGUCUUGACGGUAUCUAACCAGAAAGCCACGGCUAACUACGUG
Molecule: ribosomal RNA, 498 nt
Filed under: uncultured bacterium
Lineage: Bacteria
Description: partial 16S ribosomal RNA
Rfam family: Bacterial small subunit ribosomal RNA
Source: RNAcentral